RNAcentral lists this microRNA precursor (77 nucleotides) under Zootermopsis nevadensis. RNAcentral's name for it is "mir-929 microRNA precursor family". It matches the Rfam family "mir-929 microRNA precursor family". Lineage: Eukaryota; Metazoa; Arthropoda; Insecta; Blattodea; Termopsidae. The record is from Rfam by way of RNAcentral.
CCGGGUCAAAUUGACUCUAGUAGGGAGUCCGUUUUAUACAGGUAGUGACUCCCUAAUGGAGUCAGAUUGACCUCUUU